This 253-nucleotide ribosomal RNA is filed under the name uncultured bacterium. RNAcentral's name for it is "partial 16S ribosomal RNA". It matches the Rfam family "Bacterial small subunit ribosomal RNA", at positions 524 to 776 of the family's 1533-position model. The record is from RNAcentral.
UACGGAGGGUGCAAGCGUUAUCCGGAUUCACUGGGUUUAAAGGGUGCGUAGGCGGAUUGGUAAGUCCGUGGUGAAAUCUCCAAGCUUAACUUUGAAACUGCCAUGGAUACUAUUAGUCUUGAAUAUUGUGGAGGUUAGCGGAAUAUGUCAUGUAGCGGUGAAAUGCAUAGAUAUGACAUAGAACACCAAUUGCGAAGGCAGCUGGCUACACAAAUAUUGACGCUGAUGCACGAAAGCGUGGGGAUCAAACAGG